Molecule: microRNA, 21 nt
Filed under: Asparagus officinalis (garden asparagus)
Lineage: Eukaryota; Viridiplantae; Streptophyta; Magnoliopsida; Asparagales; Asparagaceae
Description: aof-miR12176
Source: miRBase by way of RNAcentral
UUCUAGUAGCAUUGCAUGGAC